This 253-nucleotide ribosomal RNA is filed under the name uncultured Acidobacteriota bacterium. Its description in RNAcentral is "uncultured Acidobacteria bacterium partial 16S ribosomal RNA". It matches the Rfam family "Bacterial small subunit ribosomal RNA", at positions 524 to 776 of the family's 1533-position model. Lineage: Bacteria; Pseudomonadati; Acidobacteriota. The record is from RNAcentral.
UACGUAGGGAGCAAGCGUUGUUCGGAUUUACUGGCGUAAAGGGCGCGUAGGCGGCGUUGUAAGUCACUUGUGAAAUCUCUGAGCUUAACUCAGAACGGCCAAGUGAUACUGCAGUGCUAGAGUGCAGAAGGGGCAAUCGGAAUUCUUGGUGUAGCGGUGAAAUGCGUAGAUAUCAAGAGGAACACCUGAGGUGAAGACGGGUUGCUGGGCUGACACUGACGCUGACAGCGCGAAAGCCAGGGGAGCAAACGGG